AACGCACAUUGCACCCUCGAGUAUUCUUGGGGGUAUGCCUGUUCGAGCGUCAUUGCAACCAUCAAGCUCAGCUUGGUAUUGGAUGUCACCAGCUGUGGUGCCUCUUAAAAGUAUUGGCAGCAGCAUUCAGCUUCAAGUGUAGUAAUUUUCUUGCUUUGGAGUUUUAAGUGCCUAACUGCUGGAACCCUAAUUUAUAAGGUUGACCUCGGAUCAGGUAGGGAUACCCGCUGAACUUAA
This 237-nucleotide unclassified non-coding RNA is filed under the name uncultured fungus. RNAcentral describes it as "sequence contains ITS2". The record is from RNAcentral. Lineage: Eukaryota; Fungi.